GGUUGUGAGUGCCGGGUCGCGCCUGCCAUCCUUCUAGACAGCGGCUCUACCCCUCACGGGGCCGGAGUUUGCCAUCUAGAUCUUUUACUUUGAACAAAUUAGAGUGUUUCAAGCAGGCUUUUGCUAUGAAUACAUUAGCAUGGAAUAAUCAACUAGGACUUCGGUUCUAUUUUGUUGGUUUCUAGGACUGAAGUAAUGAUUGAUAGGGAUAGUUGGGGGUGCUAGUAUUCAGCGGCCAGAGGUGAAAUUCUCGGAUUCGCUGAAGACUAACUAAUGCGAAAGCAUUCACCAAGUAUGUCUUCUUUAAUCAAGAACGAAAGUUGGGGGAUCGAAGACGAUCAGAUACCGUCGUAGUCUCAACCAUAAACUAUACCGACUAAGGAUGAGUGAACGUUGCAUUUUCGACUUCAUUCGCACCCUAUGAGAAAUCAAAGUCCUUGGGUUCCGGGGGGAGUAUGGUCGCAAGGCUGAAACUUAAAGGAAUUGACGGAAGGGCACCACCAGGAGUGGAGCCUGCGGCUUAAUUUGACUCAACACGGGGAAACUUACCAGGUCCAGACACAGUGAGGAUUGACAGAUUGAAGAUCUUUCUUAAUUCUGUGGGUGGUGGUGCAUGGCCGUUCUUAGUUGGUGGAGUGAUCUGUCUGGUUAAUUCCGUUAACGAACGAGACCUCGACCUGCUAACUAGUACAGUCGACUCUUCGGGGUCGGCUUCUGACUUCUUAGAGGGACUAUCGG
Molecule: ribosomal RNA, 738 nt
Filed under: uncultured eukaryote
Lineage: Eukaryota
Description: SSU rRNA
Rfam family: Eukaryotic small subunit ribosomal RNA
Source: RNAcentral